AGUGACAAAGACAGAAGACUGUGACAGAGAGAGGCUGCAUCUGAAAAAUGUUGCCUUCAGAAGAUUCAUUCCAAGGGUAGGAAGGCACUUGCACGUCCGAUUUCAAUGCUAGCUUCAGUUCCUGUCUCCUGAAAUGCGUUCAUCUAGCAGAUUUUUAAAAGGCAGCAUAAAUGUAUCCUUCGCUGCCUUUGAUAUCCCACAAUCCUGUGCGUUUCAUUCUGUGACAGUAAAGCCAAAAAAUAAAGAUGGCGUCUGAAAGUUAAGAUCAUUAAACCAUUAAGCUGCCUGCAAAGUCACUGCCUGAUACGGCAAGUCACCUGCCUAAGUUUUGGAUGCAGCCAGAGAGAAGUGGACUGUGGAAGCGCACAUGUGGAGCAGGGAAGCAAAACUUCAGGGUUUCAAGUGCAGUGUCAAGUUCACCUCCAUUCCUCUGGCUGCUCUUGCCCACCCUGCUGUCUGGCAAACUAUAUGAAAACUACCUAGUGUCCAUCUUUCACUUUCGUUUUAAGUUCUUUUGCUACCCAAUGUCAUUGCAUUAACUUAAACAGCUUUUUCAGCUUCAACAGAUGUGCAAACAAAGACCCAUUCUCUAUUUCCAGCUUACUCUGUUUGUAAAAUUGGUACGAUCACCAGCCUUUGGAUCUGUUGGAUUAGGUAUAUGGCCCAACGAAGUCCAUGUGCAUCUUUAAAAUGCCAUUUAAAACACCGCUUAAGAGCUGAAUAUUUAUCCAUGGAUUUCAUUAUUUUUUAUUUUAUUUAUUUGUGUGUGAAUUCUAUUGAAAGUUCUUAACCCUAAUGUUCUG
Long non-coding RNA from Carassius auratus (goldfish), 803 nucleotides. RefSeq lists it as uncharacterized. NCBI's taxonomy places the organism in Eukaryota, Metazoa, Chordata, Actinopteri, Cypriniformes, Cyprinidae. The record is from RefSeq and is a predicted model, not a curated record. The transcript is spliced from 3 exons.